Molecule: ribosomal RNA, 782 nt
Filed under: uncultured bacterium
Lineage: Bacteria
Description: bacterial SSU rRNA
Rfam family: Bacterial small subunit ribosomal RNA
Source: RNAcentral
AGAGUUUGAUCAUGGCUCAGGAUGAACGCUGGCGGCGUGCUUAACACAUGCAAGUCGAGCGAGAGCCAGCUGAGGGGUAACCCUCGGCUGGGGACAGCGGCGAACGGGUGCGUAACACGUGGGCAACCUGCCCCUGACACUGGGAUAACCCCGGGAAACCGGAGCUAAUACCGGAUACUCUCGGCCGAUCGCAUGGCUGGCCGAGGAAAGGUCCGCCGGUCAGGGAUGGGCCCGCGGCCUAUCAGCUUGUUGGUGAGGUAACGGCCCACCAAGGCGACGACGGGUAGCUGGUCUGAGAGGACUACCAGCCACACUGGAACUGAGAUACGGUCCAGACUCCUACGGGAGGCAGCAGUGGGGAAUAUUGCACAAUGGGCGAAAGCCUGAUGCAGCGACGCCGCGUGAGGGAUGAAGGCCUUCGGGUCGUAAACCUCUUUCGGCAGGGACGAAGCGAUCAGUGACGGUACCUGCAGAAGAAGCCCCGGCUAACUACGUGCCAGCAGCCGCGGUAAGACGUAGGGGACGAGCGUUGUCCGGAUUCAUUGGGCGUAAAGCGCGCGUAGGCGGCUGCGCAAGUCGGUUGUGAAAUUCCGGGGCUCAACCCCGGAACUGCGUCCGAUACUGCGUGGCUAGAGGUAGGUAGGGGAGAUCGGAAUUCCUGGUGUAGCGGAAAUGCGCAGAUAUCAGGAGGAACACCGGUGGCGAAGGCGGAUCUCUGGGCCUUACCUGAGCUCAGGCGCGAAAGCUAGGGGAGCGAACAGGAUUAGAUACCCUAGUAGUCC